RNAcentral lists this ribosomal RNA (670 nucleotides) under Micromonospora sp. 59. RNAcentral's name for it is "bacterial SSU rRNA". It matches the Rfam family "Bacterial small subunit ribosomal RNA", at positions 66 to 755 of the family's 1533-position model. The record is from RNAcentral. Lineage: Bacteria; Bacillati; Actinomycetota; Actinomycetes; Micromonosporales; Micromonosporaceae.
GCGGAAGGCCCUUCGGGGUACUCGAGCGGCGAACGGGUGAGUAACACGUGAGCAACCUGCCCUAGGCUUUGGGAUAACCCCGGGAAACCGGGGCUAAUACCGAAUAUGACUUCUGGUCGCAUGACCGGUGGUGGAAAGUUUUUCGGCCUGGGAUGGGCUCGCGGCCUAUCAGCUUGUUGGUGGGGUGAUGGCCUACCAAGGCGACGACGGGUAGCCGGCCUGAGAGGGCGACCGGCCACACUGGGACUGAGACACGGCCCAGACUCCUACGGGAGGCAGCAGUGGGGAAUAUUGCACAAUGGGCGGAAGCCUGAUGCAGCGACGCCGCGUGAGGGAUGACGGCCUUCGGGUUGUAAACCUCUUUCAGCAGGGACGAAGCGUAAGUGACGGUACCUGCAGAAGAAGCGCCGGCCAACUACGUGCCAGCAGCCGCGGUAAGACGUAGGGCGCGAGCGUUGUCCGGAUUUAUUGGGCGUAAAGAGCUCGUAGGCGGCUUGUCGCGUCGACUGUGAAAACCCGCAGCUCAACUGCGGGCCUGCAGUCGAUACGGGCAGGCUAGAGUUCGGUAGGGGAGACUGGAAUUCCUGGUGUAGCGGUGAAAUGCGCAGAUAUCAGGAGGAACACCGGUGGCGAAGGCGGGUCUCUGGGCCGAUACUGACGCUGAGGAGCG